This 427-nucleotide ribosomal RNA is filed under the name uncultured bacterium. Its description in RNAcentral is "bacterial SSU rRNA". It matches the Rfam family "Bacterial small subunit ribosomal RNA", at positions 355 to 775 of the family's 1533-position model. The record is from RNAcentral.
UCGAGAAUUUUUCACAAUGGGGGAAACCCUGAUGGAGCGACGCCGCGUGGGGGAUGAAUGGCUUCGGCCCGUAAACCCCUGUCAUUUGCGAACAAACCUCUUUGCCUAACACGUGAAGAGCUGAUUGUAGCGAAAGAGGAAGGGACGGCUAACUCUGUGCCAGCAGCCGCGGUAAUACAGAGGUCCCAAGCGUUGUUCGGAUUCACUGGGCGUAAAGGGUGCGUAGGUGGUGGGGUAAGUCUGAUGUGAAAUCUCCGAGCUUAACUCGGAAAUGGCAUCGGAUACUAUUCUGCUAGAGGGCUGGAGAGGAGACUGGAAUUCUCGGUGUAGCAGUGAAAUGCGUAGAUAUCGAGAGGAACACCCGUGGCGAAGGCAAGUCUCUGGACAGCACCUGACACUGAGGCACGAAAGCUAGGGGAGCAAACAG